RNAcentral lists this transfer RNA (76 nucleotides) under Myxococcota bacterium. Its description in RNAcentral is "tRNA-Gly". It matches the Rfam family "tRNA". From Rfam's summary of the family: Transfer RNA (tRNA) molecules are approximately 80 nucleotides in length. Lineage: Bacteria; Pseudomonadati; Myxococcota. The record is from RNAcentral.
GCGGGAAUAGCUCAGUUGGUAGAGCAGGAGCCUUCCAAGCUUCAGGUCACGGGUUCGAGUCCCGCUUCCCGCUCCA